RNAcentral lists this long non-coding RNA (273 nucleotides) under Vigna radiata. RNAcentral describes it as "long non-coding RNA (VRAD_LNC008908)". Lineage: Eukaryota; Viridiplantae; Streptophyta; Magnoliopsida; Fabales; Fabaceae. The record is from RNAcentral.
UGGGGGUGAGGAGUAAAUUUAAUGCACCUGGAUACUACUAGUAUGCAAUUAAUGUAUUCGUCCUGGGUUUGAUGUUGAAUACUCCUAAUAUAGAACAUGCCUUUCCACACGAGGUCAUAACACAAUCAUGUUUUCUGAUUUUUCAAAGGACAUUUUGUUGAAGGCAAUGUUGUGCCUCUAGCAGUGGCCAUGAUCACGUGUUCUCUGUUGCCUCAAAGUAAAACCAAGUCCUUGUCGUUGUCGACCUGACAUGCCUUCCUCUUUUCAUUUCCG